RNAcentral lists this ribosomal RNA (459 nucleotides) under uncultured bacterium. RNAcentral describes it as "partial 16S ribosomal RNA". It matches the Rfam family "Bacterial small subunit ribosomal RNA", at positions 338 to 795 of the family's 1533-position model. The record is from RNAcentral.
CCUACGGGAGGCAGCAGUGAGGAAUAUUGGUCAAUGGCCGAGAGGCUGAACCAGCCAAGUCGCGUGAGGGAAGACGGCCCUACGGGUUGUAAACUUCUUUUGUCUGGGAGUAAAGAGAGUCACGUGUGCCCCAUUGUGAGUACCCGAAGAAAAAGCAUCGGCUAACUCCGUGCCAGCAGCCGCGGUAAUACGGAGGAUGCGAGCGUUAUCCGGAUUUAUUGGGUUUAAAGGAUGCGCAGGAGGAGGUGCAAGUCAGCGGUCAAAUUGUGGGGCUCAACCCCGUACUGCCGUUGAAACUGCAUCCCUUGAGUGCGCGAGAGGUGUGCGGAAUGCGUGGUGUAGCGGUGAAAUGCAUAGAUAUCACGCAGAACUCCGAUUGCGAAGGCAGCAUACCGGCGCGCAACUGACGCUGAUGCACGAAAGCGUGGGUAUCGAACAGGAUUAGAUACCCUAGUAGUC